Pseudoliparis swirei is the source of this 231-nucleotide long non-coding RNA. RefSeq lists it as uncharacterized. The record is from RefSeq and is a predicted model, not a curated record. NCBI's taxonomy places the organism in Eukaryota, Metazoa, Chordata, Actinopteri, Perciformes, Liparidae. The transcript is spliced from 2 exons.
UCUACCCUUCCAUGCGAGGGGGAGCCGAGGCCCCAGGGGGUCCCUAAGUACCCCUCGGUGGGUUGUUGGACACGAAGCAGACUGCGAGUGGAGAACAAACAGAAAUGUUCUCCAUGACCAGACCGGACACGACACAAGGCGAGACGACCUGACCAAAGAAAACGGAGGAAGAAAAAGCACACACAAUAAACAAGUAUACUUCUUGUGUGCAGACACAGAGGAGGCCAGGUU